GACGUAGGAGGCGAGCGUUGUCCGGAUUCAUUGGGCGUAAAGAGCGCGCAGGCGGUUUGGUAAGUCGGAUGUGAAAUCCCGGAGCUCAACUCCGGACCUGCAUCCGAUACUGCCCGACUAGAGGUAGGUAGGGGAGAUCGGAAUUCCUGGUGUAGCGGUGAAAUGCGCAGAUAUCAGGAGGAACACCGGUGGCGAAGGCGGUUCUCUGGGCCUGUACUGACGCUGAGGAACGAAAGCGUGGGGAGCGAACAGG
Molecule: ribosomal RNA, 253 nt
Filed under: uncultured bacterium
Lineage: Bacteria
Description: partial 16S ribosomal RNA
Rfam family: Bacterial small subunit ribosomal RNA
Source: RNAcentral